This 254-nucleotide ribosomal RNA is filed under the name uncultured bacterium. RNAcentral's name for it is "partial 16S ribosomal RNA". It matches the Rfam family "Bacterial small subunit ribosomal RNA", at positions 524 to 777 of the family's 1533-position model. The record is from RNAcentral.
UACGAAGGGGGCUAGCGUUGUUCGGAAUUACUGGGCGUAAAGGGCGCGUAGGCGGCCAUUCAAGUUAGGUGUGAAAGCCCUGGGCUCAACCUAGGAAUUGCACUUGAUACUGUUUGGCUUGAGUUCGGGAGAGGUGAGUGGAAUUCCCAGUGUAGAGGUGAAAUUCGUAGAUAUUCGCAAGAACACCAGUGGCGAAGGCGGCUCACUGGCCCGAUACUGACGCUGAGGCACGAAAGCGUGGGGAGCAAACAGGG